RNAcentral lists this ribosomal RNA (352 nucleotides) under Acrapex sysciodes. RNAcentral describes it as "partial 12S small subunit ribosomal RNA". Lineage: Eukaryota; Metazoa; Arthropoda; Insecta; Lepidoptera; Noctuidae. The record is from RNAcentral.
AAAAUUUAAAAUUAUAAUACUAAAAUAGUAGGUAAUUAAUUAUUGAAACUUAAAUAAUUUGGCGGUAUUUUAGUUCAUUUAGAGGAAUCUGUUUAAUAAUUGAUAUUCCACGAAUGAAUUUACUUAAUUUAUAAUUUUGUAUAUCGUUGUUAUAAAAAUAUUUUUUAAUAAAAUUAAUAUUUAAAAAUUAUUAUUAUAAAUUUAAAUCAGAUCAAGAUGCAGAUUAUAAUUAAGAAUAUAAUGGAUUACAAUAAAAUUAUUUAAAUGAAUAUUAGUUUGUAAAAAUUAAUUGAAAGUGGAUUUAAAUGUAAUUUUAUUUAAUUUAUUAAAAUGAUUAAAAAUUAAAAUAUGU